AGAGUUUGAUCAUGGCUCAGAGCGAACGCUGGCGGCAGGCCUAACACAUGCAAGUCGAGCGCCCCUCCUUCAAGCGAGCUUGGAGGAUUGCGGAGCGGUCUCCUGGGCGGGCGAAAGCUCGCUUGACGGAUAUCGCUUUGAGAUCAGGCGAGCCUUUAGGGGCUCGCUUGAUGGAGGGGAGCGGCAGACGGGAGAGUAACACGUGGGAACGUACCCUUUGGUUCGGAACAACCCAGGGAAACUUGGGCUAAUACCGAAUAAGCCCUUACGGGGAAAGAUUUAUCGCCGAAGGAUCGGCCCGCGUCUGAUUAGCUAGUUGGUGAGGUAACGGCUCACCAAGGCGACGAUCAGUAGCUGGUCUGAGAGGAUGAUCAGCCUCACUGGGACUGAGACACGGCCCAGACUCCUACGGGAGGCAGCAGUGGGGAAUAUUGGACAAUGGGCGCAAGCCUGAUCCAGCCAUGCCGCGUGGGUGAUGAAGGCCCUAGGGUUGUAAAGCCCUUUCGGCGGGGAAGAUAAUGACGGUACCCGCAGAAGAAGCCCCGGCUAACUUCGUGCCAGCAGCCGCGGUAAUACGAAGGGGGCUAGCGUUGCUCGGAAUCACUGGGCGUAAAGCGCACGUAGGCGGAUUGCUAAGUCAGGGGUGAAAUCCUGGAGCUCAACUCCAGAACUGCCUUUGAUACUGGUGAUCUUGAGUCCGGGAGAGGUGAGUGGAACUGCGAGUGUAGAGGUGAAAUUCGUAGAUAUUCGCAAGAACACCAGUGGCGAAGGCGGCUCACUGGCCCGGUACUGACGCUGAGGUGCGAAAGCGUGGGGAGCAAACAGGAUUAGAUACCCUAGUAGUCC
RNAcentral lists this ribosomal RNA (846 nucleotides) under uncultured bacterium. RNAcentral's name for it is "bacterial SSU rRNA". It matches the Rfam family "Bacterial small subunit ribosomal RNA", at positions 8 to 796 of the family's 1533-position model. The record is from RNAcentral.